This is a long non-coding RNA of Heterocephalus glaber (naked mole-rat), 333 nucleotides long. The record is from Ensembl. Lineage: Eukaryota; Metazoa; Chordata; Mammalia; Rodentia; Bathyergidae.
GCUGAAUAUAGUGACACACGCCUGUAAUCCCAGCACUCUUGGAGGCUGAGGCAGAAGGAUGAGCAAAGCUUGGGGGAGGAGAAGAGAGAGUGUGUGAAUUUCCUGGGUGUCGUCUGGGUGCCUGGCCCAGUUCCAGCAGAGGGAUGAAGAGGAAGAACACUGUCCCUCCAGAGCAGUCACAGUGCACUCUGUGCUACAGGGGCAGCAUGUUCCUUCAGGCAAAUGUGCAUAUCAGUGGCUCAAUAAAUAGGAAUGCAGUUAAAUGAGGCACAGACAGCAGGAUAAUAAAAAGAAAUUAGUGACUUCCACAAAGGGAGCAGCACAGCAGCUCAC